UGGGCUGAUCUCGCUAAAACACAAAGAGUA
RNAcentral lists this non-coding RNA (30 nucleotides) under Mus musculus (house mouse). Lineage: Eukaryota; Metazoa; Chordata; Mammalia; Rodentia; Muridae. The record is from RNAcentral.